Molecule: ribosomal RNA, 428 nt
Filed under: Bacillota bacterium
Lineage: Bacteria; Bacillati; Bacillota
Description: Firmicutes bacterium partial 16S ribosomal RNA
Rfam family: Bacterial small subunit ribosomal RNA
Source: RNAcentral
UGGGGAAUCUUGCGCAAUGGGCGAAAGCCUGACGCAGCGACGCCGCGUGAGGGAAGAAGGCCUUCGGGUUGUAAACCUCUUUCAGGAGGGACGAAGCCACUCGGGUUAAUAGCCCAGAGGGUGACGGUACCUCCAGAAGAAGCCCCGGCUAACUACGUGCCAGCAGCCGCGGUAAUACGUAGGGGGCGAGCGUUGUCCGGAUUUAUUGGGCGUAAAGAGCGUGUAGGCGGCCAGGUAGGUCUGCUGUGAAAACUCGAGGCUCAACCUCGAGACGUCGGCGGAAACCAUCUGGCUAGAGUCCGGAAGAGGAGAGUGGAAUUCCUGGUGUAGCGGUGAAAUGCGCAGAUAUCAGGAAGAACACCCGUGGCGAAGGCGGCUCUCUGGGACGGUACUGACGCUGAGACGCGAAAGCGUGGGGAGCGAACAGG